AUUUUUAUUAAAAAGGUAAAGCCGUAAAGGUUACAAUUUUGUCUGCAAUUACAAGGAAGCUGAAAUUUCAUAAUCUUUUAAAUCUCCAUACAUUAAACAUUUUAAUACUUCAAUUCACUUUAUAAUCAUGUUCGGCUUAUCGAAAUUAGCUCAGCCUAUGGCCAAGCAAUCCCUACAAGUAAUGUCCAAGAGAACAAAUAUCACUGUUAACGGUCCACCUCAAGUCAGAAUGCCAAAAUGGCAACAACUGCUUAUCGGAGGUUCUGCAUCUGGAUCAAUCUUGAUCAUACCUAUUUGGGUUCUGUAUGACUUAAAGAGUCUUCCACGAGCUUAAUUACUUUACUUCAUGUUUUUGUUGCAUUAUUAUAAAUUUAGAUAUGUACUAUGUAAACAUUUUUUCUAUAGAAAUAAAAUGAAAUUGUAGUUAAAUACUACCAACUGUAUAAAA
Molecule: long non-coding RNA, 448 nt
Organism: Myzus persicae (green peach aphid)
Lineage: Eukaryota; Metazoa; Arthropoda; Insecta; Hemiptera; Aphididae
Exons: 2
Source: RefSeq, a predicted model, not a curated record